Molecule: ribosomal RNA, 1101 nt
Filed under: Triticum aestivum (bread wheat)
Lineage: Eukaryota; Viridiplantae; Streptophyta; Magnoliopsida; Poales; Poaceae
Description: partial small subunit ribosomal RNA
Source: RNAcentral
AUGAAGACCUUCCUCAUCUUUGCCCUCCUUGCCGUUGCAGCGACAAGUGCCAUUGCACAAAUGGAGACUAGCCACAUCCCUGGCUUGGAGAAACCAUCGCAACAACAACCAUUACCACUACAACAAAUAUUAUGGUACCACCAACAGCAACCGAUCCAACAACAACCACAACCAUUUCCACAACAGCCACCAUGUUCACAGCAACAACAACCACCAUUAUCGCAGCAACAACAACCACCAUUUUCACAGCAACAACCACCAUUCUCGCAGCAAGAACUACCAAUUCUACCGCAACAACCACCAUUUUCGCAGCAACAACAACCACAAUUUUCGCAGCAACAACAACCAUUCCCGCAGCAACAACAACCACUUCUACUGCAACAACCCCCAUUUUCACAACAACGACCACCAUUUUCUCAGCAGCAGCAACAACCAGUUCUACCGCAACAACCACCAUUUUCGCAACAGCAACAACAACAACCAAUUCUACCGCAACAACCACCUUUUUCGCAACACCAACAACCGGUUCUUCCGCAACAACAAAUACCAUAUGUUCAGCCAUCUAUCUUGCAGCAGCUAAACCCAUGCAAGGUAUUCCUCCAGCAGCAAUGCAGCCCUGUGGCAAUGCCACAAAGUCUUGCUAGGUCGCAAAUGUUGUGGCAGAGCAGUUGCCAUGUGAUGCAGCAACAAUGUUGCCAGCAGCUGCCGCGAAUCCCCGAACAAUCACGCUAUGAUGCAAUCCGUGCCAUCAUCUACUCGAUCGUCCUACAAGAACAACAACAUGGUCAGGGUUUCAACCAACCUCAGCAGCAACAACCCCAACAGUCGGUCCAAGGUGUCUCCCAACCCCAACAACAACAGAAGCAGCUCGGACAGUGUUCUUUCCAACGACCUCAACAACAACAACUGGGUCAAUGGCCUCAACAACAACAGGUACCACAGGGUACCUUGUUGCAGCCACACCAAAUAGCUCAACUUGAGUUGAUGACUUCCAUUGCACUCCGUACCCUGCCAAUGAUGUGCAGUGUCAACGUGCCGGUGUACGGCACCACCACUAGUGUGCCAUUCGGCGUUGGCACCCAAGUUGGUGCCUACUGAUAA